AUUAGACGAAUCAUCUGGAAAGAUGAAUCAAAGAAGGUAAUAAUCCUGUAGUCGAAAAUGUUGUCUCUCUUGAGUGGAUCCUGAGUACGACGGAGCACGUGAAAUUCCGUCGGAAUCUGGGAGGACCAUCUCCUAAGGCUAAAUACUCUCUAGUGACCGAUAGUGAACCAGUACCGUGAGGGAAAGGUGAAAAGCACCCCGGAAGGGGAGUGAAAUAGAACCUGAAACCGUGUGCUUACAAGUAGUCAGAGCCCGUUAAUGGGUGAUGGCGUGCCUUUUGUAGAAUGAACCGGCGAGUUACGAUUUGAUGCAAGGUUAAGCAGUAAAUGUGGAGCCGUAGCGAAAGCGAGUCUGAAUAGGGCGUUUAGUAUUUGGUCGUAGACCCGAAACCAGGUGAUCUACCCUUGGUCAGGUUGAAGUUCAGGUAACACUGAAUGGAGGACCGAACCGACUUACGUUGAAAAGUGAGCGGAUGAACUGAGGGUAGCGGAGAAAUUCCAAUCGAACCUGGAGAUAGCUGGUUCUCUCCGAAAUAGCUUUAGGGCUAGCCUCAAGUGAUGAUUAUUGGAGGUAGAGCACUGUUUGGACGAGGGGCCCCUCUCGGGUUACCGAAUUCAGACAAACUCCGAAUGCCAAUUAAUUUAACUUGGGAGUCAGAACAUGGGUGAUAAGGUCCGUGUUCGAAAGGGAAACAGCCCAGACCACCAGCUAAGGUCCCAAAAUAUAUGUUAAGUGGAAAAGGAUGUGGCGUUGCCCAGACAACUAGGAUGUUGGCUUAGAAGCAGCCAUCAUUUAAAGAGUGCGUAAUAGCUCACUAGUCGAGUGACACUGCGCCGAAAAUGUACCGGGGCUAAACAUAUUACC
This 864-nucleotide ribosomal RNA is filed under the name Staphylococcus aureus. Its description in RNAcentral is "partial 23S ribosomal RNA". It matches the Rfam family "Bacterial large subunit ribosomal RNA", at positions 328 to 1195 of the family's 2925-position model. Lineage: Bacteria; Bacillati; Bacillota; Bacilli; Caryophanales; Staphylococcaceae. The record is from RNAcentral.